Malus domestica (apple) is the source of this 1090-nucleotide RNA transcript. RefSeq lists it as uncharacterized. The record is from RefSeq and is a predicted model, not a curated record. Lineage: Eukaryota; Viridiplantae; Streptophyta; Magnoliopsida; Rosales; Rosaceae.
GGCUUACUCAAUCCCCACUAUUCAUAGAAAAAGGAGAAACGAACUCAACCGCACAUAGCCGUUUCUCACAUCGUCUGAUUUAUGCUUCUUCUUUGUCUACUUUCAUCGUCUUUAAUUUCCUAUUCAUUUUGCUCAGUUUUUGUUCAAUUUCGAUAAGGUAUUACAGCUCAGAGCCGAUUUGCAGAUUUUAAAAAUGGUGGACGCUGGGCAAAAAACGCUUGGACAGUUCGGAGCCGAUGUGCGUAUUUUGAAGAUGGUGUAUGCUAGGCCAAAAAGGCUUGGACGGGUAAUUCAAUUUCAAUGGCAAGACCUUUUCUUUUUUUUGAGAAUAUGGUCAGUCAGGCGAUGAAUAUGAGGAUUAUGAGGACAAUGAGAAUGGCGAAGAAUAUCAAGAGGAAGAGGAAAAUUUGGAAGAGUUUCACCCCCACUACAUUUGCACCUUACAGUUUCCAGUUGGAUUGAAAUCCUCCAUCUUCUUCCAUAUGCUCACCAGUCUCCUCCAACGGAAUAUUCAAAAGGAUAAACAUGGGAUGAAACUGUAAAGCAAUAGGCAAUUUUGCGAGAAAGAACACAAACUGUAGAGCAUAAUGGGUUCCUUUGUUUCUUUGCAAAUGAAUGGAGAACUUUAAGGCAUUUCUCAUGUGGAUUUUUCUUAUAGAAAAGGAACAAGAUAAAGCUUUUUGAUUGUUUGGAUCGACAAGGAACAAUAAGCAUUUUUGCAAGCCAUUUGAACUCCAUCUAAAUAAGAAUUCAAGACUGUGUUGUCUUGCUUAAUCAGGUUUUUGUUUUGGGUUUUAUAUAUCUUAAUUUCAAACAAUUCUAUAUGGCUUCAUUUGUAUGCUUUUACUUCAAGUUUGGGUGAGAAGUUGGACGUCUUCUUCAUUUGAAAAAUAAAUAAAUAAAUUUCCUCUUUUCCAUGGUGAUCAAUGCAAAGAGAAUGAACCACUGGAGAUCUGCUAUGCCAAAGAGAAAACAAGUAUGGAAGAUGGAGAUUAGUUCUUGACUGCUCUCAUUGUGGAGGACAGAAGUAUAAACAUUAAACACAAAGGUUUUUUAAUUAUAUGUGGAUUGAGGAGAAAAAUAUAAGAGU